AUUGAACGCUGGCGGCAGGCCUAACACAUGCAAGUCGAGCGGAUGAAGGGAGCUUGCUCCUGGAUUCAGCGGCGGACGGGUGAGUAAUGCCUAGGAAUCUGCCUGGUAGUGGGGGAUAACGUCCGGAAACGGGCGCUAAUACCGCAUACGUCCUGAGGGAGAAAGUGGGGGAUCUUCGGACCUCACGCUAUCAGAUGAGCCUAGGUCGGAUUAGCUAGUUGGUGGGGUAAAGGCCUACCAAGGCGACGAUCCGUAACUGGUAUGAGAGGAUGAUCAGCGACACUGGGACUGAGACACGGCCCAGAUUCCUACGGGAGGCAGCAGUGGGGAAUAUUGGCCUAUGGGUGGAAGGAUGAUCCAGCAAUGCCGCUUGAGUGAUGUAGGCCUUAGGGUUGUAAAGUUCUUUUACCCGGGAUGAUAAUGACAGUACCGGGAGAAUAAGCUCCGGCUAACUCCGUG
RNAcentral lists this ribosomal RNA (459 nucleotides) under uncultured bacterium. RNAcentral's name for it is "partial 16S ribosomal RNA". It matches the Rfam family "Bacterial small subunit ribosomal RNA", at positions 30 to 507 of the family's 1533-position model. The record is from RNAcentral.